GCCGGGGUGGCGAAAUUGGUAGACGCAGGGGAUUCAAAAUCCCCCGGGAGCAAUCCCUUGACGGUUCGAGUCCGUCCCUCGGUACCA
RNAcentral lists this transfer RNA (87 nucleotides) under Chromatiales bacterium. RNAcentral describes it as "tRNA-Leu". It matches the Rfam family "tRNA". Rfam says of the family: Transfer RNA (tRNA) molecules are approximately 80 nucleotides in length. Their secondary structure includes four short double-helical elements and three loops (D, anti-codon, and T loops). Lineage: Bacteria; Pseudomonadati; Pseudomonadota; Gammaproteobacteria; Chromatiales. RNAcentral also lists the same sequence under 1 other name. The record is from RNAcentral.